RNAcentral lists this ribosomal RNA (252 nucleotides) under uncultured bacterium. RNAcentral describes it as "partial 16S ribosomal RNA". It matches the Rfam family "Bacterial small subunit ribosomal RNA", at positions 525 to 776 of the family's 1533-position model. The record is from RNAcentral.
ACGGAGGGUGCAAGCGUUAUCCGGAAUCAUUGGGUUUAAAGGGUCCGCAGGCGGACUUAUAAGUCAGUGGUGAAAUCUCACAGCUUAACUGUGAAACUGCCAUUGAAACUGUAAGUCUUGAAUUCGGUCGAAGUGGGCGGAAUAUGACAUGUAGCGGUGAAAUGCUUAGAUAUGUCCUAGAACACCGAUAGCGAAGGCAGCUCACUAGGCCUGGAUUGACGCUCAGGGACGAAAGCGUGGGGAGCAAACAGG